Molecule: long non-coding RNA, 840 nt
Organism: Oncorhynchus tshawytscha (Chinook salmon)
Lineage: Eukaryota; Metazoa; Chordata; Actinopteri; Salmoniformes; Salmonidae
Source: Ensembl
CUUCAGCCUGGUUCCGGUGAGUUCCGUUGGCCCGGAGAGGUAUGGCUGCGUCGUCGCUAUGGAGACAGAGAACAGCAUCAGAGCAGUAGCUCACUGUGUUGUUGAUACUGGGGCGGCGUAGCCUAGUGGUUAGCGCGUUGGACCAGUAACCGCAAAGGUUUCUAGAUCAAAUCCCAGAGCUGACAAGGUAAAAGGUGUCGUUCUGCCCCUGAACAAGGCAGUUAACCCACUGUUCCUAGGCCGUCAUUGAAAAUAAGAAUUUGUUCUAAACUGACUUGCCUAGUUAAAUAAAGGAUAAAUAAAUUAAAAUUGAGCAUCUUGAUCUUAAUGAGGAAGCUAAAUUGAAUGAUUUUACAAGGCUAGAGGAGCCUUCAUACGGUCCAGGAAACAAUGGCGUGAAAAGGGCAUAAAGAACAGCAGAUAACAGUCUUUAGAACUUUGUUUGAGGCUUCUACUGUGAGGUGAAUGAGAGGGGGCUGAAUGAGAGGGGGCUGAAUGAGAGGGGGCUGAAUGAGAGGGGAUUGAGGUGUCUGGCCGAGUGCCACAGGCUGAAUGAGAGGGGGCUGAAUGAGAGGGGAUUGAGGUGUCUGGCCGAGUGCCACAGGCUGAAUGAGAGGGGGCUGAAUGAGAGGGGAUUGAGGUGUCUGGCCGAGUGCCACAGGCUCGUGACGUGCAGUCACAACAGAGUUAGCUCUCGUUCCAUUGCUUUUCUACAGACAAUGGAAUUCUCCGGGUUGUAACUUUAUUGAAGAUUUAUGAUAAAAACAUCCUAAAGAUUGAUUCUAUACUUAGUUUGACAAGUUUCUACGACCUGUAAUAUAACUUUUUGAACUUUUCGUC